GCUGAUGUGGCUCAGCCGGUAGAGCAGUUCACUCGUAAUGAACAGGUCGGGAGUCCGAAUCUCCCCAUCAGCUCCA
RNAcentral lists this transfer RNA (76 nucleotides) under Clostridiales bacterium. RNAcentral's name for it is "tRNA-Thr". It matches the Rfam family "tRNA". From Rfam's summary of the family: Transfer RNA (tRNA) molecules are approximately 80 nucleotides in length. Their secondary structure includes four short double-helical elements and three loops (D, anti-codon, and T loops). Lineage: Bacteria; Bacillati; Bacillota; Clostridia; Eubacteriales. The record is from RNAcentral.